AUUCGCAAAUUGUAAGGGUAGCACGAACUCCCAGAAUGAACAGUGUCAUCCGUCCCGCUCAUCGGCGAUUAGAGGAGCCCCAUCGGGAGGGAAAAUCAUCGUGACUUGUGAAGGGAAGAAACGAUGAACACUUCAGGGUCUUCUAUACAACCUAACAGCAAUUUGCGGGUCUCGGAGAAGCCUCGGCAGAACCAGAAGCCUCCUUUCAGACCAGCAAAGGACGACACCAAGCCUGUGCUUCAAGACCCGAUACUGAGGUCUGAUCCAAUUGAGACAGAGGAAGCUGUGCUGCGACUGCCUCCCUUCUCGAUCGCCAGAUCAACUACACCAUCCAAAAUGUCCUGAACAUAUAAUUUAUUUCUUUUCUGUUUUGAUAUCUUUCAGCGAUGUCCUUGUCGUUUCCUCUUCACUUCUCACUUGAGCGUUAGGUUUCUAUUAUUUCUUCCUGUUUUGGCCCAUUUGAUUAGCUUACCAGAAAUCCCGACUCUUUAAAGGCUGUAAUUUCUUCUGCUAUGCUGUUACUAGCUGAAUUUAUGUUGUUGGUGUGAUAGCUUGCUUCCUAAUCUAUUUUUCCACUUACAAAUUA
Prosopis cineraria is the source of this 586-nucleotide long non-coding RNA. RefSeq lists it as uncharacterized. The transcript has 2 exons. The record is from RefSeq and is a predicted model, not a curated record. NCBI's taxonomy places the organism in Eukaryota, Viridiplantae, Streptophyta, Magnoliopsida, Fabales, Fabaceae.